Paramuricea clavata is the source of this 204-nucleotide non-coding RNA. The record is from the annotation of a GenBank genome assembly. Lineage: Eukaryota; Metazoa; Cnidaria; Anthozoa; Malacalcyonacea; Plexauridae.
CCAUGUGAGUAGAGUGCAACAUACGCUGUAAGAAGAACCAGGAAAACAAAAUAUAGAAUUGCGUUCAGGAAAUACCACGUUCGAGCUGUUGAUGAAUUCAUUUUUUUCUUUAAAAAUAACCGUACGAGUGGAUGUGAAAGGCAUUCGUCGAGUCCAACAAAAGCCCAUUUGCUUAUGGCUUCAAUGUAAUCACCAUCAGAAUCU